ACGAGCGCUGGCGGCGUGCUUAACACAUGCAAGUCGAACGGAAAGGCCCUGCUUUUGUGGGGUGCUCGAGUGGCGAACGGGUGAGUAACACGUGAGUAACCUGCCCUUGACUUUGGGAUAACUUCAGGAAACUGGGGCUAAUACCGGAUAGGAGCUCCUGCCGCAUGGUGGGGGUUGGAAAGUUUCGGCGGUUGGGGAUGGACUCGCGGCUUAUCAGCUUGUUGGUGGGGUAGUGGCUUACCAAGGCUUUGACGGGUAGCCGGCCUGAGAGGGUGACCGGCCACAUUGGGACUGAGAUACGGCCCAGACUCCUACGGGAGGCAGCAGUGGGGAAUAUUGCACAAUGGGCGGAAGCCUGAUGCAGCAACGCCGCGUGCGGGAUGACGGCCUUCGGGUUGUAAACCGCUUUCGCCUGUGACGAAGCGUGAGUGACGGUAAUGGGUAAAGAAGCACCGGCUAACUACGUG
RNAcentral lists this ribosomal RNA (467 nucleotides) under uncultured bacterium. RNAcentral describes it as "partial 16S ribosomal RNA". It matches the Rfam family "Bacterial small subunit ribosomal RNA", at positions 29 to 507 of the family's 1533-position model. The record is from RNAcentral.